AAUAUUUCAAGAUACAGAUUACAAUUUCUGCAGAUAAACAGACGUCGUUACCUGGGCCUUGGUUUUGCACGGGGAGGAGGUCUGAAGAUCAUUGGUAGUUUCCCAUUGCAGCCAGGGAAGGACAACACCGUCUGCCACCGCAGGUAAAGCAACUUUUGGGAACGCAACUGGCGUUUCUGUCAUAGCUUGAACUAACUCGAGUCACUUCUCUCUCCAUCAAAAGAGGAAAAGUCAGUGUCCUCAACAUUCGACAGAAAAAUCUUGAAAGUAUUGCUCAGCCUCUUCAAUAAGUCGUUUUGACAUCCUUGAUCUAUCAUUGCUCCUCUGCAAUAAAUUUAUGUCAAAUUCUAUUUCGUAGGUGCACAAAAUUAACUGGAAACAAUGGAACAGCAACGGCAACCAAAUAAACUUACUCUUCUGUG
RNAcentral lists this long non-coding RNA (422 nucleotides) under Zea mays. Its description in RNAcentral is "long non-coding RNA (ZMAY_LNC003885)". Lineage: Eukaryota; Viridiplantae; Streptophyta; Magnoliopsida; Poales; Poaceae. The record is from RNAcentral.